Molecule: ribosomal RNA, 487 nt
Filed under: uncultured Corynebacterium sp.
Lineage: Bacteria; Bacillati; Actinomycetota; Actinomycetes; Mycobacteriales; Corynebacteriaceae
Description: bacterial SSU rRNA
Rfam family: Bacterial small subunit ribosomal RNA
Source: RNAcentral
AAACUCAAAGGAAUUGACGGGGCCCGCACAAGCGGCGGAGCAUGUGGAUUAAUUCGAUGCAACGCGAAGAACCUUACCUGGGCUUGACAUACACCAGAUCGGCGCAGAGAUGCGUUUUUCCCUUGUGGUUGGUGUACAGGUGGUGCAUGGUUGUCGUCAGCUCGUGUCGUGAGAUGUUGGGUUAAGUCCCGCAACGAGCGCAACCCUUGUCUUAUGUUGCCAGCACGUGAUGGUGGGGACUCAUGAGAGACUGCCGGGGUUAACUCGGAGGAAGGUGGGGAUGACGUCAAAUCAUCAUGCCCCUUAUGUCCAGGGCUUCACACAUGCUACAAUGGUCGGUACAACGCGUGUGCGACACUGUGAGGUGAAGCUAAUCGCUCUAAAGCCGGUCGUAGUUCGGAUUGGGGUCUGCAACUCGACCCCAUGAAGUCGGAGUCGCUAGUAAUCGCAGAUCAGCAACGCUGCGGUGAAUACGUUCCCGGGCCUU